AGUGAACGCUGGCGGUAGGCCUAACACAUGCAAGUCGAACGGCAGCACAGUAAGAGCUUGCUCUUACGGGUGGCGAGUGGCGGACGGGUGAGGAAUACAUCGGAAUCUACUUUUUCGUGGGGGAUAACGUAGGGAAACUUACGCUAAUACCACAUACGACCUACGGGUGGAAGCAGGGGAUCUUCGGACCUUGCGCGAUUGAAUGAGCCGAUGUCGGAUUAGCUAGUUGGCGGGGUAAAGGCCCACCAAGGCGACGAUCCGUAGCUGGUCUGAGAGGAUGAUCAGCCACACUGGAACUGAGACACGGUCCAGACUCCUACGGGAGGCAGCAGUGGGGAAUAUUGGACAAUGGGCGCAAGCCUGAUCCAGCCAUACCGCGUGGGUGAAGAAGGCCUUCGGGUUGUAAAGCCCUUUUGUUGGGAAAGAAAAGCAGCAGGUUAAUACCCCGCUGUUCUGACGGUACCCAAAGAAUAAGCACCGGCUAACUUCGUG
Molecule: ribosomal RNA, 492 nt
Filed under: uncultured bacterium
Lineage: Bacteria
Description: partial 16S ribosomal RNA
Rfam family: Bacterial small subunit ribosomal RNA
Source: RNAcentral